RNAcentral lists this ribosomal RNA (407 nucleotides) under uncultured bacterium. Its description in RNAcentral is "partial 16S ribosomal RNA". It matches the Rfam family "Bacterial small subunit ribosomal RNA", at positions 30 to 526 of the family's 1533-position model. The record is from RNAcentral.
AUUGAACGCUGGCGGCAGGUCUAACACAUGCAAGUCGAGCGGAGCGGCGGACGGGUGAGUAAUGCCUAGGAAUCUGCCUGGUUGUGGGGGAUAACGUCCGGAAACGGGCGCUAAUACCGCAUACUAUCAGAUGAGUCUAGGUCGGAUUAGCUAGUUGGUGGGGUAAAGGCCUACCAAGGCGACGAUCCGUAACUUGGCUGAGAGGAUGAUCAGGAACCAGGGAACGGUGACGCGGUCCAGACUCCUACGGGAGGCAGCAGGGAGGAAUAUUGUACAAUGGGCGACAGCCUGAUCCAGCCAAGCCGCGUGUGUGAAGAAGGUCUUCGGAUUGUAAAGCACUUUAAGUUGAGAGGCGUUACCAACAGAAUAAGCACCGGCUAACUUCGUGCCAGCAGCCGCGGUAAUAC